AGCAGCCGCGGUAAUUCCAGCUCCAAUAGCGUAUAUUAAAGUUGUUGCAGUUAAAAAGCUCGUAGUUGAAUUUCGGGAUUGGCGUGUCGGUCGUGCCUUAAGGGGUAUGAACUGGCGUCGUCGAUUUCUCACCUUCUGGAGAAACACGAUGCCCUUAAUUGGGUGUCGUGCGGAACCAGGACCUUUACCUUGAAAAAAUUAGAGUGUUUAAAGCAGGCAUUUUUUGCUCGAAUACAUUAGCAUGGAAUAAUAAAAUAGGACGGUUGGUUCUAUUUUGUUGGUUUCUAGGAUCACCGUAAUGAUUAAUAGGGAUAGUUGGGGGCAUUAGUAUUCAAUUGUCAGAGGUGAAAUUCUUGGAUUUAUUGAAGACUAACUACUGCGAAAGCAUUUGCCAAGGAUGUUUUCAUUAAUCAAGAACGAAAGUUAGGGGAUCGAAGACGAUCAGAUACCGUCGUAGUCUUAACCAUAAACUAUGCCGACUAGGAAUCAGACGAUGUUAAUUUUUUAAUGACUGUUUGGCACCUUACGGGAAACCAAGUGUUUU
This 544-nucleotide ribosomal RNA is filed under the name uncultured fungus. RNAcentral describes it as "SSU rRNA". It matches the Rfam family "Eukaryotic small subunit ribosomal RNA", at positions 569 to 1107 of the family's 1831-position model. Lineage: Eukaryota; Fungi. The record is from RNAcentral.